Long non-coding RNA from Anguilla rostrata (American eel), 456 nucleotides. RefSeq lists it as uncharacterized. The transcript is spliced from 3 exons. The record is from RefSeq and is a predicted model, not a curated record. Lineage: Eukaryota; Metazoa; Chordata; Actinopteri; Anguilliformes; Anguillidae.
GAAAACCCUACACCUACAAUCACAUACAAACGCAUGUCGAGCAUUUGAGCAAAAAUACUACCCAUUAUUCGGUUACGACAUAAUGCUAAUGUAGCACGGGAAGAUAUAACGGUGGAGUCAUAUGUAUUAGACGCCAUCAAUGGGAUUUUGGACAAUACAGAGGAGAUUUGAACGGGACCGAUCGCAGCCUGCUUGCUAAGUGGUGGAACGAAGCAUGAAUAUACCCGGGUGAAAGUGAGCACUAACCAAGGCGGAUAUCCAGGCGGUGUUGCUUGGGAACGAUCUGAUUGCUCACCUGGGACUGGAGAAGAGAUUAAGUACUACCUCCACGAAGAAGAGGGAAAAUUCCCUUAAAAAAAGGAAGGUAAGAAUCACCGAAUGGAGGUAAGAAGAGGCGAACAUAAAGACGAAUUCUGACAGAUGCAAGAAACUGAGGCACGCAGAGAGAAAGGCAAA